This 343-nucleotide unclassified non-coding RNA is filed under the name Hevea brasiliensis (rubber tree). The record is from RNAcentral. Lineage: Eukaryota; Viridiplantae; Streptophyta; Magnoliopsida; Malpighiales; Euphorbiaceae.
UGCUACCCUGAAAGACUCGGAAAACUGAUUGUGGUUCAUGUUCCUUACAUAUUCUGGACAAUGUGGAAGCUUGUGUACCCUUUUAUUGAUAACAACACCAAGAAGAAGAUUACAUUCGUGGAAAACAAACGACUCACAGAAACUCUACUUGAAGACAUUGAUGAAAGCCAGCUACCAGAUAUUUAUGGAGGCAAAAUGCCAUUAGUUCCUAUUCAUGAAGCCUAAGCAAGUAGUUACAGAUCAUUAUUAUUCAGAGCUAGUUUACGAGGUGUUUCAGGUAAUGCUCUCGAUAAGAAGACAUCAACAUUUGUACUACGAUCAUACAUUUUAUAUACAUUAUGCG